RNAcentral lists this long non-coding RNA (924 nucleotides) under Struthio camelus australis. RNAcentral describes it as "lncRNA (ENSSCUG00000001162.1)". The record is from RNAcentral. Lineage: Eukaryota; Metazoa; Chordata; Aves; Struthioniformes; Struthionidae.
GCAUCCGAUUCUGUGAUUGUUCUGUUUAUUUCCUAGUAUUUAAUGAUGGGGAACCUUUUUCUCUCAUGCAUAUGCUAUAAUAUUUGCAGGUGCCUCUGUUGUGAAAUAUAGUGAAACCUCCAAUGCAGGAGCACACCUGUGCAUGUUUGGACUUUGCUGGGAAUAUGCAUGCUCCCUGUAUGUCGUUUCCAGUGGGAUAAUGACCAAGAAAACUACUGAGCCAUGGAUGGAUUGCAGGGUUACAUCAUGAUAAAGCUGUUCAGAGUCAUCUACCCUCUUGCUGUGAUGCUGGCUCACAUUUCCAAAGCAGAGCUGCAAACAGAAGAGAUCAUGAAUGCUCCGAAGAACUUUGCUAUCUAUGAUAUGAAAGAUGCUUCUGAAGAGGAAAUAAUUUCCUCCUUGGGAAAACUCAUGUACAACCAGGAUGGGUCCCCCAAGCACACUUUCCAGCUGGAGGACUCCUGGUGGUGGAAGCGGGAAGAGGCGAGAGUGAAAAAGGAGAAGAUUUAACGGAGGAGAAAGGAAAGUAUUUUCACUGAACAUGCUACUUGUCACUUACUGUUAAUACAGCCACCAAAGAUCUCAGUGCUUUGAAACUGUUCUCAGUUAUAAGUUGCAAUAUAUUGUUGCUUUCCUCACAUAAGUUAUUUUUCACCUUUCUUCAAGCGUGUCAAUGCUGCUUUAGAAGAUCAGUAUGGAAAACUUCUGCAACUACACCAUCUGGUUUCAGUUUUCAUUAAUUUGGUGUCAGCCAAGAUCCUACAGUCCAGAUGAUUAAAAAGGACAGAGCUAAACUGCUGCAUUUUAGGAAUUUAAGCCUACCUCUUCUCCUGUUAAAUUCUAUUCUUUUCAAAAUGAGCUUUUUUUUUUCCCAAAAGUGGAACAUAAAACAAAUGCUCACAACUUUUAUUAGUGAAGCAAAAU